GAUGAACGCUGGCGGCGUGUCUAAGGCAUGCAAGUCGUAUGGGUUUAGGCCCAUGGCAAACGGGAGAGUAACACAUUGGUAACCUACCCUGGGGACGCGUAUAACUCCGAGAAAUCGGAGAUAAUUCGCGAUAUUAGCGGGGGGACGAAAGUCAUUCCCACUUAAAGCAGCAAUGCGCCUCGGGAGGGGCCUAUGUCUUAUCAGCUAGUUGGUGAGGUAAAAGCUCACCAAGGCGAUGACGAGUAGCGGGUGUGAGAGCAUGGCCCGCCUCACUGGGACUGAGACACUGCCCAGACUCCUACGGGUGGCAG
This 311-nucleotide ribosomal RNA is filed under the name uncultured Parcubacteria group bacterium. RNAcentral's name for it is "bacterial SSU rRNA". It matches the Rfam family "Bacterial small subunit ribosomal RNA", at positions 28 to 351 of the family's 1533-position model. The record is from RNAcentral.